UGCCAGCCGCCGCGGUAAUACGGAGGGUGCGAACGUUGCUCGGAAUUAUUGGGCGUAAAGCGCGCGUAGGCGGCUUCACAAGUUGGAUGUGAAAGCCCCGGGCUCAACCCGGGAAGUGCAUCCAAAACUGUGUGGCUUGAAUCUCGGAGGGGGGUACAGAAUUCCUGGUGUAGAGGUGAAAUUCGUAGAUAUCAGGAGGAAUACCAGUGGCGAAGGCGGUACCCUGGACGAUGAUUGACGCUGAGGUGCGAAAGCGUGGGGAGCGAACAGGAUUAGAUA
This 279-nucleotide ribosomal RNA is filed under the name uncultured bacterium. Its description in RNAcentral is "partial 16S ribosomal RNA". It matches the Rfam family "Bacterial small subunit ribosomal RNA", at positions 506 to 784 of the family's 1533-position model. The record is from RNAcentral.